This 459-nucleotide ribosomal RNA is filed under the name uncultured bacterium. Its description in RNAcentral is "partial 16S ribosomal RNA". It matches the Rfam family "Bacterial small subunit ribosomal RNA", at positions 28 to 507 of the family's 1533-position model. The record is from RNAcentral.
GAUGAACGCUGGCGGCGCGCCUAACACAUGCAAGUCGAACGGCACCCCUCCUCGGAGGGAAGCGCGUGGCGAACGGCUGAGUAACACGUGGGGAACCUGCCCCCUCCCCCGUGAUAGCCGCCCGAAAGGACGGGGAAUACCCGAUACCCCGGGGUGCCGCAUGGCACCCCGGCUAAAGCCCCGACGGGAGGGGAUGGCGCCGCGGCCCCUCAGGUAGACGGCGGGGUGACGGCCCACCGUGCCGGCAACGGGAAGCCGGGCUGGGGGGACGACCGGCUAGCUUGGGACUGAGGCACGGCCCAGACUCCUACGGGAGGGAGCAGGGGGGGAACAUGCGCAAUGGGAGGAACCCUGGAGGAGCGGCGGCGCGGGCGGGACGGAAGCCUUCGGGUCGGAAAACGCUUUCAGCAGGGGAGGGUCAAGACUGUACCUGCAGAAGAAGCCCCGGCUAACUACGUG